UACGGAGGGAGCUAGCGUUGUUCGGAUAUACUGGGCGUAAAGCGCACGUAGGCGGCGUCGUAAGUCAGGGGUGAAAUCCCGGAGCUCAACUCCGGAACUGCCCUUGAAACUGCAAUGCUAGAAUCUUGGAGAGGCGAGUGGAAUUCCGAGUGUAGAGGCGAAAUUCGUAGAUAUUCGGAAGAACACCAGUGGCGAAGGCGACUCGCUGGACAAGUAUUGACGCUGAGGUGCGAAAGCGUGGGGAGCAAACAGG
Molecule: ribosomal RNA, 253 nt
Filed under: uncultured bacterium
Lineage: Bacteria
Description: partial 16S ribosomal RNA
Rfam family: Bacterial small subunit ribosomal RNA
Source: RNAcentral